UAGCUCAUUAAUUAACUACACGGCCCCU
RNAcentral lists this non-coding RNA (28 nucleotides) under Rattus norvegicus (Norway rat). Lineage: Eukaryota; Metazoa; Chordata; Mammalia; Rodentia; Muridae. The record is from RNAcentral.